Molecule: ribosomal RNA, 1507 nt
Filed under: Helicobacter pylori FD719
Lineage: Bacteria; Pseudomonadati; Campylobacterota; Epsilonproteobacteria; Campylobacterales; Helicobacteraceae
Description: bacterial SSU rRNA
Rfam family: Bacterial small subunit ribosomal RNA
Source: RNAcentral
UUUAUGGAGAGUUUGAUCCUGGCUCAGAGUGAACGCUGGCGGCGUGCCUAAUACAUGCAAGUCGAACGAUGAAGCUUCUAGCUUGCUAGAGUGCUGAUUAGUGGCGCACGGGUGAGUAACGCAUAGGUUAUGUGCCUCUUAGUUUGGGAUAGCCAUUGGAAACGAUGAUUAAUACCAGAUACUCCCUACGGGGGAAAGAUUUAUCGCUAAGAGAUCAGCCUAUGUCCUAUCAGCUUGUUGGUAAGGUAAUGGCUUACCAAGGCUAUGACGGGUAUCCGGCCUGAGAGGGUGAACGGACACACUGGAACUGAGACACGGUCCAGACUCCUACGGGAGGCAGCAGUAGGGAAUAUUGCUCAAUGGGGGAAACCCUGAAGCAGCAACGCCGCGUGGAGGAUGAAGGUUUUAGGAUUGUAAACUCCUUUUGUUAGAGAAGAUAAUGACGGUAUCUAACGAAUAAGCACCGGCUAACUCCGUGCCAGCAGCCGCGGUAAUACGGAGGGUGCAAGCGUUACUCGGAAUCACUGGGCGUAAAGAGCGCGUAGGCGGGAUAGUCAGUCAGGUGUGAAAUCCUAUGGCUUAACCAUAGAACUGCAUUUGAAACUACUAUUCUAGAGUGUGGGAGAGGUAGGUGGAAUUCUUGGUGUAGGGGUAAAAUCCGUAGAGAUCAAGAGGAAUACUCAUUGCGAAGGCGACCUGCUGGAACAUUACUGACGCUGAUUGCGCGAAAGCGUGGGGAGCAAACAGGAUUAGAUACCCUGGUAGUCCACGCCCUAAACGAUGGAUGCUAGUUGUUGGAGGGCUUAGUCUCUCCAGUAAUGCAGCUAACGCAUUAAGCAUCCCGCCUGGGGAGUACGGUCGCAAGAUUAAAACUCAAAGGAAUAGACGGGGACCCGCACAAGCGGUGGAGCAUGUGGUUUAAUUCGAAGAUACACGAAGAACCUUACCUAGGCUUGACAUUGAGAGAAUCCGCUAGAAAUAGUGGAGUGUCUAGCUUGCUAGACCUUGAAAACAGGUGCUGCACGGCUGUCGUCAGCUCGUGUCGUGAGAUGUUGGGUUAAGUCCCGCAACGAGCGCAACCCCCUUUCUUAGUUGCUAACAGGUUAUGCUGAGAACUCUAAGGAUACUGCCUCCGUAAGGAGGAGGAAGGUGGGGACGACGUCAAGUCAUCAUGGCCCUUACGCCUAGGGCUACACACGUGCUACAAUGGGGUGCACAAAGAGAAGCAAUACUGCGAAGUGGAGCCAAUCUUCAAAACACCUCUCAGUUCGGAUUGUAGGCUGCAACUCGCCUGCAUGAAGCUGGAAUCGCUAGUAAUCGCAAAUCAGCCAUGUUGCGGUGAAUACGUUCCCGGGUCUUGUACUCACCGCCCGUCACACCAUGGGAGUUGUGUUUGCCUUAAGUCAGGAUGCUAAAUUGGCUACUGCCCACGGCACACACAGCGACUGGGGUGAAGUCGUAACAAGGUAACCGUAGGUGAACCUGCGGUUGGAUCACCUCCUUUCUA